GAAGGACAUGUACUUCAUGGUGCCACUGAGAGAAGAGGACAAACCACAGUUUGCAUUCACCUGGCAAGCAACCAGCUCAAGACUGCACCGUUCCGGACAAGGGCCCGAUCCUUACGAGCCCCGGGAGUCAGCAUGCAGCUCGACCGGACCCGUGGAGCCUCGGACAACGUGCCUUAAAAUCCAUAAAGACUUUGAAACUUCUCUGAACUGCAUUUGGGACAGUGAGUAAUUGAUAAACUUCUAUUUGAAACUGAAUAACUUCUCAAGACUUCAAUGAACUCUCUCAUAUCAUAAACUCUCUUCAUUUUAGUCAUUCUGUAUAUUAAAUCUCAACUACGAACCAAGAAUCUACGCGGGAUAAUUACAAAUAAGUUUGGGGAAGGGGAUUUCUAGUGUAUAAUAUUAAAUUACUUAUACCUUUUUAUAAAA
This is a long non-coding RNA of Pogoniulus pusillus (Red-fronted tinkerbird), 429 nucleotides long. RefSeq lists it as uncharacterized. The transcript has 2 exons. NCBI's taxonomy places the organism in Eukaryota, Metazoa, Chordata, Aves, Piciformes, Lybiidae. The record is from RefSeq and is a predicted model, not a curated record.